Non-coding RNA from Pantherophis guttatus, 762 nucleotides. NCBI's taxonomy places the organism in Eukaryota, Metazoa, Chordata, Lepidosauria, Squamata, Colubridae. The record is from RefSeq and is a predicted model, not a curated record.
CAGCGCGGGGUGCGGCGCGUUCGUUUCUGCACGUCCUUACUUUAGGGAGGAACCAACUGUACUUGCCCGGGCUUCAGUACCGCGCUCCCACACCUCCCUUCCCCUCAAUGGUUGCCGCCAGCCAACCUCUUUUUUUCAUUGGGGACAAGCUUUCACGCCAGGCGUCCUUCUCUCGGCUUGGAACCGGACUGGAUUUUUCUUCCAACAAUUUAGCACACCAGAUGGGACUCCAAGCUAACCUGACCAACGGAUCUGGCUCAGGUAAACCUCCACCUUGAUGGCAGCAGACCCCUUGUGUCUGUGGGUUUCCCGGACCGUGCCCGUUUGGAGCAAGGGUAGUAAAGGGCUGCUUGGAAAGGAGCAACAAACCUGUAAGGGGUUUUGGGCUUAGAGAGAGUGAUUGGCCCGAAGUCACUCAGCCAGCUUUCAUGCCUAAAGUGGGAUUAGCACUCAUGGUCUCCUGGUUUCUAGCCUAGUGCUUUAACCAUUAGACCCCCGACAAAGCUUAACCUUGGAGGAGUCCGCGUGCAUGAAGAAAAUUCUGACUAAUAUUUAUGUGAAUAAAACCCUAUGAGAACACUGAUAUGUUUGCAAUUUGGCGUUCUCUGGAUUUCAAUCAGAUGCAAUGUUGAGAUCCCUUUUAAAAAUCAAUAGAUUAAACCUUUAUUUGCCUUCAUGUGACUCACUUAUGUGGCUCAGAGAAAAAACCUUUAUAGCCAGGCAAUAAAACGGAGCACUUCAUGAUGGUGUUUACGUGGAAAA